ACAUGCAGUCGAGCGGUAGCACAGAGAGCUUGCUCUCGGGUGACGAGCGGCGGACGGGUGAGUAAUGUCUGGGAAACUGCCUGAUGGAGGGGGAUAACUACUGGAAACGGUAGCUAAUACCGCAUAACGUCGCAAGACCAAAGUGGGGGACCUUCGGGCCUCAUGCCAUCAGAUGUGCCCAGAUGGGAUUAGCUAGUAGGUGGGGUAACGGCUCACCUAGGCGACGAUCCCUAGCUGGUCUGAGAGGAUGACCAGCCACACUGGAACUGAGACACGGUCCAGACUCCUACGGGAGGCAGCAGUGGGGAAUAUUGCACAAUGGGCGCAAGCCUGAUGCAGCCAUGCCGCGUGUAUGAAGAAGGCCUUCGGGUUGUAAAGUACUUUCAGCGGGGAGGAAGGCGAUAAGGUUAAUAACCUUGUCGAUUGACGUUACCCGCAGAAGAAGCACCGGCUAACUCCGUGCCAGCAGCCGCGGUAAUACGGAGGGUGCAAGCGUUAAUCGGAAUUACUGGGCGUAAAGCGCACGCAGGCGGUCUGUCAAGUCGGAUGUGAAAUCCCCGGGCUCAACCUGGGAACUGCAUUCGAAACUGGCAGGCUAGAGUCUUGUAGAGGGGGGUAGAAUUCCAGGUGUAGCGGUGAAAUGCGUAGAGAUCUGGAGGAAUACCGGUGGCGAAGGCGGCCCCCUGGACAAAGACUGACGCUCAGGUGCGAAAGCGUGGGGAGCAAACAGGAUUAGAUACCCUGGUAGUCCACGCCGUAAACGAUGUCGAUUUGGAGGUUGUGCCCUUGAGGCGUGGCUUCCGGAGCUAACGCGUUAAAUCGACCGCCUGGGGAGUACGGCCGCAAGGUUAAAACUCAAAUGAAUUGACGGGGGCCCGCACAAGCGGUGGAGCAUGUGGUUUAAUUCGAUGCAACGCGAAGAACCUUUACCUGGUCUUGACAUCCACAGAACUUAGCAGAGAUGCUUUGGUGCCUUCGGGAACUGUGAGACAGGUGCUGCAUGGCUGUCGUCAGCUCGUGUUGUGAAAUGUUGGGUUAAGUCCCGCAACGAGCGCAACCCUUAUCCUUUGUUGCCAGCGGUUCGGCCGGGAACUCAAAGGAGACUGCCAGUGAUAAACUGGAGGAAGGUGGGGAUGACGUCAAGUCAUCAUGGCCCUUACGACCAGGGCUACACACGUGCUACAAUGGCAUAUACAAAGAGAAGCGACCUCGCGAGAGCAAGCGGACCUCAUAAAGUAUGUCGUAGUCCGGAUUGGAGUCUGCAACUCGACUCCAUGAAGUCGGAAUCGCUAGUAAUCGUAGAUCAGAAUGCUACGGUGAAUACGUUCCCGGGCCUUGUACACACCGCCCGUCACACCAUGGGAGUGGGUUGCAAAAGAAGUAGGUAGCUUAACCUUCGGGAGGGCGCUUACCACUUGA
RNAcentral lists this ribosomal RNA (1419 nucleotides) under Klebsiella quasipneumoniae. RNAcentral describes it as "bacterial SSU rRNA". It matches the Rfam family "Bacterial small subunit ribosomal RNA". Lineage: Bacteria; Pseudomonadati; Pseudomonadota; Gammaproteobacteria; Enterobacterales; Enterobacteriaceae. The record is from RNAcentral.